GCUCUGCUGCCUUUGAAGAGGUCUUUUUUAACAUUAAAAAAAAUCUUUGAUAGAAAAGAUUUGUAAGUCAUUGUCUACACAAUAGGACAACCCUCCCUCAAAUACUCUUAACCCCAAAACCUUGAUCAAAGUAUGGUAUUGUUGAACCAUAUCCUAUCUGCCAGAUGAUGUAUCCAAUGUACGAAGGCACGGUGAGCACAUGGCAUCAUGACCUGCAACCC
This 221-nucleotide long non-coding RNA is filed under the name Elaeis guineensis (African oil palm). RNAcentral's name for it is "long non-coding RNA (EGUI_LNC072580)". Lineage: Eukaryota; Viridiplantae; Streptophyta; Magnoliopsida; Arecales; Arecaceae. The record is from RNAcentral.